Molecule: non-coding RNA, 31 nt
Filed under: Mus musculus (house mouse)
Lineage: Eukaryota; Metazoa; Chordata; Mammalia; Rodentia; Muridae
Source: RNAcentral
UGAGAUGGAUUGAUUGCUUACUUUUGGCCCA